Molecule: long non-coding RNA, 2873 nt
Organism: Thalassophryne amazonica
Lineage: Eukaryota; Metazoa; Chordata; Actinopteri; Batrachoidiformes; Batrachoididae
Exons: 2
Source: RefSeq, a predicted model, not a curated record
GCCCAUAACUCCAAAACAUUCCAUCACAGACAGUCCAAACUAUUCCUUUUUGGAAUCUUUAUGAUCAGACAAAUAAUGUGGUAUAGUAUUCAAUAUGAUUUUGAUUAUUUUUAAAUACUGACCUCCAUGUAAUUCUUCAUAGAACCCAACCCGCUAGAGCUGCCACCCUGGGAUGGCCACCAUACAUUUCUCUGUAAAUUGUGGUGUACAGAAGCUGGAUUGUAAGUGUUGUUUCGUCUCCUUUGGUGUCACCGAAAACCUUCUUGGCCCAUGGACUAAUGGGGCAGUAGGGUGGAGAUUGAGGAUAAACUUUAAAAUCUCUGGGGUUGCGGUCGAUUCUUGUUUACAUCCACGUGAUUCAGCUGCAGAUGUCAGCCCUCUGGGUAGCUAACGGGCUGAACGUUACAACGCUGUACUCAAACGAUGUAUUACUUCCUUCCAACUUCUGAUACUUUAGCUUUUUGAUUAUUUUACACAUGAAGACUGUUUAAAAAAAAAAACAAUUUCGUCCAGAAAAAACAUGUAUAUUAUCUGAGGUAUUAGUUUGCCAUUACGUGUCUUUUUGCAUUUGAAGAACAACGUUAUGACUGAAAUGUCUUGGUUAAACAUUUUCAACAUCAUUCUGGCGCUCUUGGCCACUUUCAUUGUUAAGCUCCAUUUAAUAGUGCACAUUAAGCCAUAGCGUUCUUUCAAGAAGUUUAUAUUUAUGUUUGUAUUCAUAUCAGUUGGUACUGUACAAAAAAGAAGUAUUAUGAACAUAUGUACAUAUCUCUUUGGCUGCUGCAAUUUGUGCAACUCCUUAACAUGUUCUAUUGUGCUUAAUGCAAUCAAAGUGAGUGCCUGGACUUAAAAAAAAAAAAAAAAAAAAAAAAACGCUAUUUAUGAGCAGAUUACAAGAUUUAUGAAGAUGCAGGGAAUUUGUACACAGUAUACACAUAGUUACACAAUACUUGCAUUGAUGGUGAAAGUGGAUGAUUGGAAAUCCGAUCAACCACGCAGGAGAUCAGAGGCAUUUUGCUCUUUGUAAUGAUCAUUUUAGAAAUUCCUUCGAACAGUUUACAGAAACUUGAUGUGAAUUUACCUGCAGUUCCAUCAAUUCGUGUGCUGUUAGUUCUAAGGGAUACACCACUAUGGAGCAUACAGUGUAGCAUAGCACCAGACACAUGCACGCCUUAACCAGUGUUCUUGCUUUAGGAUUAGCCGAGUUUGUUCAAACGUUCCAGUAGAGAAAGGGGGCGAAGUGAUUAUAGUCCACUGUUUCGCUGAAACAAUUUGGCCAUGUGAGUAGAUUUAGAGGUUUAGACCAUAGACGGAAGCACUUUAUGAGUAGUUUGUGAAAAAUAAUAUUUAUUCAUAUAAAACAUUGUAUAAGUUAAGUGAUUUAGAUUCGUCUUAAACUAGGAAUUGCCUAAAAUAAAAAUUUAUCUCAACUUUAACAGCUUACAAUAAAGAUGGAUUAUGUAGUAAUCUGAUACUAUAUUAUUAAGAGAUUAAUUAAAGCUGUACGGCCUUUCAAAUGACACAAACUGACAAAAUUUAGCUUCUACCAAAAUCCAAGAAUUAAAAUGUAGGUUUAUUUUUGUAUCAUACUGCAAAAUUACAGCUUAUUUCAAUGAAGAGAACACAUUUAUCUGGGCGGAAUUACAUGGCAAAUGUUGUUUUCCUUCUUACGUACUGUACAGGAGGAAGCAUACGAGUGCACAUCCAUAAGAUGUCUUGUAAAUCAUUUCAGAGGUGUUAUAUGGUUUCAAAAACAGCAUUUUUAGAUUUAGAAGUGCUUAUUUCUUGCGAACCUAUACAAAAUAUCUGGGAAACACAUUUAUAUAGAAAGCUGUUUCUGAGUGUUUUCCGCCAUCUUGGUUUAUUUUAUUCGAGCUAGCAGCCAGCUCAUGUCACACUACCUUUCUUUACUUGGAUUGGCAAUCGUGGUGUCCUUCCCAGCAUCCUUGUAUUGCUUGAAGGAAGCCCCCACAUGAUCUGACUUCCUGAUCACUUGAAAUUCUCCCCCUCAGGGGCUGAAAUUCUAAAUUGUUUCCAGACAGCAUGAAUUUUGAUCACAUUGGCAUUAUAAUAUUAUGAAUCCCUUAUUUAAAUAAUUAAUAAAAUUAUAGUGGUACAAAUGAAAAUUCUUUUUAUGACUUAAACCUUAAACCAAAGGCCGGACAGCUUUAAGAAACAUGAACGAAACAAAACCACACGUCCACCUCUACAUAUAUUUUAAAGGGCUACUCCAUAUUAUUGUAUGUUUACUAUUUUGAGCUGUUGAGAUAAUUGCCCUUCGAUCAUUUGAAACCGGGUAGCAGUGCAAGCUUUAAAGUACAACUGAAGAGUUUCUAAAUUAAAAAAAAAAGACAUUAUGUAUUUACCAAAGUCCCGAUUAUAGUUUAUUUUACUGACGGUCUCGUUUGUUUUUGGAGGCUUGUACUGUAAUUAUAUUGUUACCAAAUUGUUUUAGCGUUCUACUGUGAUUAUGUUUACGAUAGAAAAAAGUACUUUGUUAAAAAGUUUGAAAAAGAGUCCUCUUAUGAUAUAUCGGAAUGCCAGUUUCAUAGUAUAUUUGAAUGUGUCCAUAUGGAAGCCAGUAAAUGGUAUUAUAAUAUGUUAAGUAACUUGAAUGACUUUUAAUAACUUAUAUGUUUGCAACUCUUAGUUGACAUACUGGUAAUGAAUGUUUCUAUGGUAUUCUUUGUAUUGUCAGGACUGACUUACUGUUUAGAGAUUUAUAUUUUCAUAAAUGUUGUACUUACAUUUUGUUACAGAGUUGUUUAACUGGAAUUAAAGUUGAAAAGAAACUUAUGUCUGAAGCAAUAUGAACUAGUGUGUAUGCAUUGUUUGUAAGAAACAUUUUAAUGUAAUAAAAAUGGUUCACAUUU